RNAcentral lists this long non-coding RNA (1348 nucleotides) under Gallus gallus (chicken). Lineage: Eukaryota; Metazoa; Chordata; Aves; Galliformes; Phasianidae. The record is from RNAcentral.
CGAGCGCUCUUGAGGUGGGCGUGCCGCUACUUAAGGGGAUGCUGACGGCGAGCGGGUAUUAGCACUGAAGAUCUCCCAGCAAUGCCAGCAGAAGACAUGUGCUGAAGUACGGAGGUGUGUGGCUGUGCCGCAUGGGGAGAGGGCGUUCCUGUUCAUGACUGAUCUUUCCUGCUCAGCAACUGCUUGGUGCUGAUAGAACUGUGAGGAAACAUGCGCUGGAAGUCCUGCUGAUGUCUAAAAGCCUCAGGAUUUGGUGAGCACAAAGAUAAAAAGCUAAAUCUGUGCAAGGAAGCCUGGAGCAUCUGGGGAGGGAAAUUUGAGCUGUUAGCUGCCUCAGUCUUUUUUCUUUUUUUCUUUGCUUUCCACUUGUUUUGGCAUUUACAUCAGUGCAGCAUCACCACUCUGUUGAUAACAUUGUAUGGUGACUUUGCAUUUACUUUACAAUGGUGUGGUUGGCUUUACAAAAGAGAAAUAGACUCCAGGAAUCUUUUUUUUCAGCUUACAGAGAUAUAAAUCUAAGAUUGUUUUGUUGGAUUUUUGCAGGCUAUCUUAUCUAGAGUUCUGCUACCACUGUACUAAUGUAACUGAAUACUGUGGUUUUAUUUCAUUAUUUUUUACAUGUUUUCCACAGAAACAAGAGUUAUAAAGUCAAAGUAAGUAGAAGCAUUGAAUAUAUUUUAUCUGUGUUCCAGUAGUGGUAUGAAUGGCUGUGGUAUUUCAGUAGGAGUUGCAGGGGUAGAUACAGAGCAAACUAUUUGCUUUUUCAUGGUAAUAUUGCAUGCUGAUUUACUGUAUGUGGCAUUAUGGGUAGUAACUUUCGAGUUGGAAAUAAGUUAUCUGUAACUGGAAAUGGAAGAAUCAUUUUAAAAGUCAGAUAUGAAUCAAGACACCAAAUUAUGAUGUUUUGCUAAUAAGGAAAAGUUAAUUUCAUCAGUGACAUGAGGAAAAUGUUGAGCUUUCCAAUUAUUGCCUUGCGUUUCUUUCAAACUUCAUUAAGAUGUAAUUGUUUCAAGCAAAUAUUUUUAGUAUGUGUUCCCCACAUAAUAGAGCAAUGUAGAGAGUGAUGUAUAUGUAAAACUGCAGCUGAACAGAACAGUAUUUUUUCUCAACAUGCUGCACUUCCCCUCUGGGUUGUUGAUGACCUGUUGUUUAUGCAGUGCCAUGCAGCUGACAGUCAGUCUCCAAGACUGUGGUUCCAGUUUCCAGGUUGUGGCUAAAGUCUAGCUGUAGCAGUGAUUUACUCAUAAUGUCUGUUAUCUUCCUCGUUUGUUGAUUGUAAAAUGCAUGUUAAAUAUUUUUUUUAUUUUCAAAAGAGGUCUUAAGUGUUUAUGUGAACUGAAAAAUAUCU